This 433-nucleotide ribosomal RNA is filed under the name uncultured bacterium. Its description in RNAcentral is "partial 16S ribosomal RNA". It matches the Rfam family "Bacterial small subunit ribosomal RNA", at positions 29 to 507 of the family's 1533-position model. The record is from RNAcentral.
AACGAACGCUGGCGGCAUGCCUAACACAUGCAAGUCGAACGAGACCUUCGGGUCUAGUGGCGCACGGGUGCGUAACGCGUGGGAACCUGCCCUUAGGUUCGGAAUAACUCCCCGAAAGGGGUGCUAAUACCGGAUAAUGUCUUCGGACCAAAGAUUUAUCGCCUUUGGAUGGGCCCGCGUUGGAUUAGCUAGUUGGUAGGGUAAAAGCCUACCAAGGCGACGAUCCAUAGCUGGUCUGAGAGGAUGAUCAGCCACACUGGGACUGAGACACGGCCCAGACUCCUACGGGAGGCAGCAGUGGGGAAUAUUGGACAAUGGGCGAAAGCCUGAUACAGCAAUGCCGCGUGAGUGAUGAAGGCCUUAGGGUUGUAAAGCUCUUUUACCCGGGAUGAUCAUGACAGUACCGGGAGAAUAAGCUCCGGCUAACUCCGUG